UAUAUCUUUGGAGAUUAAACUUCUUUACCCUUUGAAUUCAAGAACUAUUACACUUGAAAACUCAAUUUCCAGCCACUCAUUGAUAUCAAGUGAGUUGAUUAUUUAAUUAAAGUGGAAUACACUUGAUUCUGCCCUACUGCGAAGUGUAUUUGGUGUUCUACUGAUAAAGUCUGUCAAAGUAAAAUCCAUGCAAUUUGAAGGGCUUUACACUUUAUUUAACGAUGUUGCGGUUUAAAAAAAGGUUGAGGUUCUAUUACGGCAUUUGGUGAGCAUGAAGGACGCUCUAAGCAGAUAUUUAUAUCAGGAAAAAUCGAAUAUUGAUAAGAAAAUAUUUAAGAGCCAGCAUUGACCAGGUGCAGAUGAACAUAUAGCUUAGCUUUAAGAACCCGGCGGAAUCAUCAAUCCAAAGUUGCGAAAACGCCAGUUAAAAUGCCGCAUGGUGCGGUUUGGCAGAACCCCGACCAAAUGCAGGUACCGUGGAGGCACCAUAUUUGACGCAGUUAAGAAAAUUUUAAAAAGAAUCAUUAUUUAAAAAAUAAUUCCAAUAUGGAUUCGCUUAAUAUUCUGCAUAACGAGCUUACUACUAUUAUAGAAUGUGUAGAAAUAAUGAAACUUCGAAAUAUAAGUUUAUUUUUUAGUUUUUUAAUCAGUUUUUAUGUAGUACUUGAGGUACCCAACUUGACGCACUAAUUUUACUAUGUUCCUUAUUUGACGCAAAGUUGUUCCUAAUUUGACGCACUUUAAAACUAUGUUAAAACUCAAUCAAUUAAAUGCCUUAUUUUUUUAUUAUAUAAAAACAGUGACAGACAGUGUAAUAGAACUUGGUACGAUAUAAAAUAAAAAGUUAAUUAAUUAUACAAAGAGGCAUUUUUUUUAAUUGUUCAGUUGUUCUGCAAGUUAUAU
Armigeres subalbatus is the source of this 903-nucleotide long non-coding RNA. RefSeq lists it as uncharacterized. The record is from RefSeq and is a predicted model, not a curated record. Lineage: Eukaryota; Metazoa; Arthropoda; Insecta; Diptera; Culicidae. The transcript has 4 exons.